CGAACCGGUGUUAAAGGGGUCUUUAACCCCGGGCCGCAAAAAGGCCGAGGUUUUUGGCCAUUUUGAGCAUCGACCAAUGCCUCAUUCUGUAGUAGUGACACUGUUAUCGAAACUAUUUUUAGAUGGGCUAAGCGAGAGGAGCAUCACAACUGCCUCUAAUAUUAAAGGUCUUGGUAAAUGGAUCUUUGCCAAGGCGUUUUAAAUAUCCGCCUCGAUAAAUUAAAUAAAACAAAAAAAAGAAAACUUGUGGACAAGCAUAGGGAGCCCAUCCACAGGCCGCUUGAGCCCAUCCAUAUAUGCACUGCUGGGAUCUGGCCACCAGAUCUGCGCCAUGUUCUCCGCCAUUGGAGAAGCCGAAUCCAGCC
This 365-nucleotide long non-coding RNA is filed under the name Sorghum bicolor (sorghum). Its description in RNAcentral is "long non-coding RNA (SBIC_LNC013681)". The record is from RNAcentral. Lineage: Eukaryota; Viridiplantae; Streptophyta; Magnoliopsida; Poales; Poaceae.